AUGGCGGAGGCUGUUGUCGGGCAGCUAGUGGUCACGCUGGGGGGUGCACUGGCAAAAGAGGCGGCGAUCUUUGGCGGGGCCCUGCUCGGCAAGGAAGCCGCCGCCCUCAGGGGCCUCUUCGGCAAGAUCUGUGACUCCAAGGUGGAGCUGGAGAGCAUGCAGGCCUACCUGCAGGAGGCAGAGCGAUUUAAGGACACAGACAAGACCACCGCCAUCUUUGUCGGCCAGGUCAGGGGCCUAGCUUUCCAGAUCGAGGAUGUCGUUGACGAGUUCACCUACAAGCUGGAGGACUGCAGGCAUGGAGGGUUUGCAGGCAAGAUGAAGAAGAGGCUCAAGCAUAUCAAGACCUGGCGCCGCCUAGCGGCCAAGCUCCAAGAAAUCAAAGCCCAGCUACAGGAUGCCAACCGGAGAAAGAAGGAUUACGCCGUCACUGGCAGAUUUGCUUCUUCUGCUAGAUCGACGAAUCAAGGUCAAGCUCUUCACUUCACCAGGGAUGAGGACCUUGUGGGGAUAGAGGAGAACAGGGACAGGUUGAUACGGUGGCUGACCGUCAGCGGUGGUAGUGGUCAUGGUCUAGAGCAGAGCAGCAGCAAGGUUACCUCGGUAUGGGGGAUGCCUGGUGUUGGUAAAACCACUCUGGUUGCUCAUGUGUACAACACCGUGAAAGUGAAUUUCGACGCGGCAGCGUGGGUAACUGUGUCGGAGAGUUACCGUAUUGAGGAUCUGCUGAAGAAGAUUGCCGCCCAGUUCGGCAUCACAGUCGACGUCGCCGACAUUGAGAUGAGAGACAUAGCAGAGUCCAUCCACAACUACCUUCAAGGUAAAAAGUUCAUCAUGGUCCUGGAUGAUGUAUGGGCUGCGCGCGUGUGGUCCGAGAUAAGGAAUGUCUUCCCAACGUCUAACUGUACCGGCCGAUAUGUUAUCAUAUCAAGAAAGCAUGAAGUGUCACUGUUGGCAACUAGGGAGUCUGCAAUUCACUUGGAACCGCUACACGCUCAUCAUUCCUGGGAGUUAUUCUGCAAAGGAGCAUUUUGGAAUGAUGAUGGUAAAGAGUGCCCAUUGGAGUUGCAGGAACUGACUUGGAAGUUCAUAGCAAAGUGUCAAGGCUUGCCUAUUGCUAUUGCAUGCAUUGGCCGCCUACUAUCCUGCAAACCCCCAACUUCUGCUGAGUGGGAGAAUGUGUACAGGGGUUUGGAUUCGCAGUUGACGAAAGAUGCGAUCCCUGAUGCUCAUAUGAUCCUAAAGGUCAGUUUGGAGGACCUUCCGUAUGAUUUGAAAAAUUGUUUCUUACACUGUGCACUAUUUCAACAAGAUUAUGUAUUAAAGAGGAGAAGGAUAACGAGGCAGUGGAUUGCGGCUGGGUUUAUUAGGGAAAAGGAGAACAAAACGUUGGAGGAAAUGGCAGAGGGAUACUUGGCUGAGCUUGUGAACCGAAGCCUAUUACAGGUUGUGAAGAGGAAUCAUGCCGGGCGACUGAAACACUGCCAGAUGCAUGAUGUCAUAGGACUUCUUGCCCUGAAUAAAGCCAAGGAGGAGUGCUUUGGUAAAUUUUAUGAUGGCUAUGGUAGUGGGGCAUUCUCUGUAGAGGGUGCACGUCGCAUAUCAGUCCAGGGGGAAAACCUUGAACAACUGAGCCGAUCUGGUGCAAAACAACUCCGUGCACUCCAUGUUUUUGGAAGGUAUAUCAAUAUUGAUUUGCCGAAGCCUAUCUUAAGAUUUUCGAAUUUCCUGUCGAUGUUGGAUCUGCAAGGUUCAUGUAUCAAAAUGCUGCCCAAUGAAGUAUUUAGCUUGUUUAGUCUGCGGUAUUUGGGUCUUAGAGAUACCAAUCUCGAAAGCCUGCCUGAAGCAGUGGGGAAGUUAUGGAAGGAAGUCUUGGAUGCUGUGCAUUCUAAGCUGACGUGUUUGCCAAACAGUGUUGUAAAACUUAAAAAAUUGAGAUGCCUGCGUGCAUUUACUACCAGCAGAUCAAAAAUUGGAAGAAUACGUGGGGUCAAGGUGCCUAGUGGUAUACAUCACUUGGCAGGACUGCGGGCUCUUCAGUCCAUCGAAGCCAGUCCAGAGUUUCUGCGUGAAGUUGGAGCUCUGACAGAGCUAAGAACAUUCGGUGUCUGCAACGUGAGAAGCGAACACUCUUCUUACUUGGGCAAUGCUAUCACCAGAAUGAGCCAUCUUAUUCAUCUCGAUGUUGGGGCUGCAACUGAGGAUGAGGUGCUGCGGCUGGAAGGGCUAUAUUUACCUUCAACCCUUUCUCUGCUUGGUUUAACAGGGCAGCUAAACAAAACAUCGACGCCUCAACAUUUCUCUUCCUGGUCACUUCUUAAUAGCGUCACCCGGUUGUACCUGGCAUUCUCCAAUAUUGAUGAGGGAACCUUUUCAUGUCUGUGUGUGUUACGUGCUCUAAGCACCCUUGAGCUAGUGCAGGCUUUUGAAGGGAAGAGGUUGGAUUUUUAUGCAGCGUCAUUUCCAAAACUUCGGUUCUUACACAUAUGGGGUGCUGCACAACUCAACCAAGUGGGAAUAGAGGAGGGCGCAAUGCAAAACCUUGUCGAGCUAUGGUUCACAGAGUGUCCUGAGCUAAAGUUUCUUCCAGAUGGCAUCCAACACCUUGCAGCCCUUGAGAAAUUACUUCUGAAAGACACAUCAGAAGAGCUAGUAGAGAAACUCCGGCAAAAGAGAGAUUCAGAUGAAUGCAAUGAAGAUGUAAUGAAGAUUAGCCGCAUAAGGAAUGUUACAGUGGAAUUGAGCCAAAAAGGACUUUGGAAAAGGAUUAGGUGGUCAUCGCUAUUCACAAGAUCCUGGGCUGUAGCAUGUCAAGCACAUGCUGAUCACUUGGAUCAUAAUCUCAAUGAAAAUCUGGGCUAUUCCUUGGAUUGA
Molecule: ribosomal RNA, 2874 nt
Filed under: Triticum aestivum (bread wheat)
Lineage: Eukaryota; Viridiplantae; Streptophyta; Magnoliopsida; Poales; Poaceae
Description: partial small subunit ribosomal RNA
Source: RNAcentral